UGUUUUUCCCUAGUUCCUGUGUUUCUUACCUUUUGAAGGGAAUCGUGUGGCUUGUUGGACUUUAUCCGUUCCAGUCUCUUUUUUGGGAUUGCGAAGGGCUUUUGAGGUAAAAUAUGUGGCUGCCCAUUUAGUCUAGCUCUAUUGCCGACUAUUUUGGCACACAUGUACUAAUCGUCUUCCUGGAUGCUGUGCAUGAGGCGAACGUGGGUUUUUUCCCAUCGAGUCCUUUAUUGUUUGGUUGCCUUAAAUGAUGCUUGCCUUGAUGCAUGCUUUGCCACUCGUCACUGGGUGCAAAGCUUGCAUGAUGUGCAGA
RNAcentral lists this unclassified non-coding RNA (313 nucleotides) under Sulla carnosa. RNAcentral describes it as "partial external transcribed spacer". Lineage: Eukaryota; Viridiplantae; Streptophyta; Magnoliopsida; Fabales; Fabaceae. The record is from RNAcentral.